AUUGAACGCUGGCGGCAUGCUUUACACAUGCAAGUCGAACGGUAACAGGCCGCCAGGUGCUGACGAGUGGCGAACGGGUGAGUAAUGCAUCGGAACGUGCCCAGUCGUGGGGGAUAACUACUCGAAAGAGUAGCUAAUACCGCAUACGAUCUAUGGAUGAAAGCGGGGGACCGUAAGGCCUCGCGCGAUUGGAGCGGCCGAUGUCAGAUUAGGUAGUUGGUGGGGUAAAGGCUCACCAAGCCAACGAUCUGUAGCUGGUCUGAGAGGACGACCAGCCACAUGGGGAAGGGACACAGGCCAAAAACCCUAGGGGAGGGAGGAGGGGGGAAUUUGGAAAAAGGGGGCAAAGCCGAAUCAAGAAAGGCGGGGGGGAGGAAGAGGGCCUGGGGGUUGUAAACUUUUUUUGAAAGGAACAAAAGGGCUUUGGUAAAAACCCGGGGCUAAGGAGGGAACCGAAAGAAAAAGCACCGGAUAAUUACGG
Molecule: ribosomal RNA, 481 nt
Filed under: uncultured bacterium
Lineage: Bacteria
Description: partial 16S ribosomal RNA
Rfam family: Bacterial small subunit ribosomal RNA
Source: RNAcentral